This 2124-nucleotide small RNA is filed under the name Lupinus albus (white lupine). Its description in RNAcentral is "hypothetical ncRNA". The record is from RNAcentral. Lineage: Eukaryota; Viridiplantae; Streptophyta; Magnoliopsida; Fabales; Fabaceae.
GUCUUAAGAGCUCCUAGAUUCUUGGCGAGUUUCCUUUAUUCUUGGCCCCUUGGAGUGCACAUCAACUUAUUUUCUGCUCUAGUCUCUAGUCUAGUUACUAUUACUUUGUCUAUUCACCUUGAACCAAGGUAGACACAUGAAAGAAAUGGAUCCAGGAAAGCAAAGCAAAGAUGAAAUUUUCUUGUGUACAUGUACACCAACCGUAUUGUUGGUAGACAUCGUACACAUUAAUGAAUACCUCAAUUGUAAAAGUUAGGUGUGAAAGUUUCAAUAACUGCCCUUUUAUAAAUAAUUUAUGACACCAUGUUUUCAUUCAGGCAUCCUCAAUCAAACACUAGCAUAUAUAGCACUCACACUUUGUUAUUAAGACAAUGUAACAUCAAAUCUGAUAGGCAUGCUUGUCUAUGUGAAUGACUCUUCUGCAGUCACAGACAUUUGUAGACAUAAUCCAAUAAUCCAAAGUGAUCCUCCCUGUCCCCAAUCCACUAUUUAUCACUGGAGCAAGUACCAAUGCCAGUGGAGUGGAGGCAGUCCUUUUAAACUAACCUGUUAUAGACUUACAGUCACUAUGAUAUUCAGAAAUAUACAAAAAGUGUUUGUGGAAUAGACACGGAUAGAGAUGUGAAAAUCACUGGGGAACAAGUACGAAACUUCUUCCUUAGUUGAAGAUUACCGAGAGAGGUUCUAAAGCAGGUCUGGGAUUUAUACAAUGAUAGCACAUUUUCUUUCGGAGUUUUGUAUCACUCUACCUAAUGGAGUGACUCAAAGAAGGACAUGUUGUCCACAAGUACUCCUAAGUAAAGUAACAAUAUGCCUGAUCUGCCUACUGUUUGUCAACCUUCCACUCACCACAGUGCUCUAGGUCGGGGAAAUCCAUCAGAUUUUCAAUAACAGCAAGUGAUGACUGGUUUUGGUGCUCAACAACUGAACCUUACUACAACCCUCAGUCUGAUGAAGUAUCUCAGAACAAGCAGCAGAGCUCCAGACAGUCCAGAGUUCCAGUUUUGGAGAAGCGCCUAAUAAAUCAGCAGUAUUUAAAAGAGCAAAGUUCAAUUAGUUCAAAGUUUUAAGAUGCAAUAGAAGCUGGCACGGAGCGAAAGGUUCUAUACAAGAACAAAUGUGAUAAACAUCUUAUCAAGAUCAUAGAAAUGAUACCUGCAGAUGAGCAUGAGGUUGAGAUUACAGCAAAGAAAUACGAAGAUAAAUAUAAGCAAGUUGGAGGUGUAUCAUUCAGGCAUAGCAUGUAGCAGGACGCACUAGCUUGGCACCGGUUACAAGGAAGUUCAACAUAACACAAAUGUCUCAUCAUCCUAGAGACAAGUGUUCCUGAUUAGGUCAACAAUCUCAAUCUUUAUAGGGAUACAUGGGUUAUGUCCAACUCAGCAUCCUUGGAAUUAGAAUAGGACCAACUUCCACGGCUAAGAGACGCGGAAGGACAACUUUUGAAUUACAGUGUACACUACAACAUGCCAUGUCAUGCCAGCUAGUACUAGGAGUUGUUCUCCUUGCCAAAGCACAAAAAGUUGUGAUUUGUCUUGUAUUUGUCCACUGCAGAAUCUGCUCCUCUAGCAAUAUCGAAUAGACUUCUAGCUAGGAGUUGUUCUCCUUGCCAAAGCACAAAUAGUUGUGAAUUGUCUUGUAUUGUUCACUGCAGAAUCUGCUCCUCUAGCAUUGUCGAAUAGACAUCAAGGAAUAGAUCAUAUGCAUCUCGGGGGCCUAGUUAGACAAUCACAUUCUUGCGAAUAAAUAGAGAAGCACCUCCAAAGUGUACAGGACUAUGGCUUGGAGACCUAUUUAUGUACCCCAUGCGACGAAGGACCGCAUUCAUGCUGCAACGACUUGUUGACAACCCGCUCAAAUGCAAUACAAAUAUAUGUGGAAUUGUCUUAAUAGGGUUGUUUGAUGUUUGUAGAUGCUCAGGGAAUAGGUUAGGCAUAGCGUAUGUAUGAAAUUAUAUGUGUAUAUAGCUGGAAUUACUACCAAGUAGAAGUCACAAAGAGAAUGGUUGAGAAAGAAGGAGAGUUGAAGGGUUCAUACAAGUAACUGAAGGUAUUUUCUUAGGGUUUCAUACUAUUUGGAUGUCUUAGGAUUCAUGAUCUUUUACUCAACUUCUCUAUAUCUGAG